RNAcentral lists this ribosomal RNA (253 nucleotides) under uncultured bacterium. RNAcentral describes it as "partial 16S ribosomal RNA". It matches the Rfam family "Bacterial small subunit ribosomal RNA", at positions 524 to 776 of the family's 1533-position model. The record is from RNAcentral.
UACGUAGGUGGCAAGCGUUGUCCGGAGUUAUUGGGCGUAAAGUGCGCGCAGGCGGUGCGGUAAGUCUCUGGUGAAAGCGCUCGGCUUAACUGGGCGAGGGCCGGGGAGACUGCCACGCUGGAGGGGAGCAGAGGCGAGUGGAAUUCCGGGUGUAGUGGUGAAAUGCGUAGAGAUCCGGAGGAACACCAGUGGCGAAGGCGGCUCGCUGGGCUCUACCUGACGCUGAGGCGCGAAAGCGUGGGGAGCGAACCGG